Molecule: transfer RNA, 74 nt
Filed under: Anaerolineales bacterium
Lineage: Bacteria; Bacillati; Chloroflexota; Anaerolineae; Anaerolineales
Description: tRNA-Arg
Rfam family: tRNA
About the family: Transfer RNA (tRNA) molecules are approximately 80 nucleotides in length. Their secondary structure includes four short double-helical elements and three loops (D, anti-codon, and T loops). Further hydrogen bonds mediate the characteristic L-shaped molecular structure. tRNAs have two regions of fundamental functional importance: the anti-codon, which is responsible for specific mRNA codon recognition, and the 3' end, to which the tRNAs corresponding amino acid is attached (by aminoacyl-tRNA synthetases). tRNAs cope with the degeneracy of the genetic code in two manners: having more than one tRNA (with a specific anti-codon) for a particular amino acid; and 'wobble' base-pairing, i.e. permitting non-standard base-pairing at the 3rd anti-codon position.
Source: RNAcentral
GCGCCCAUAGCUCAACUGGACAGAGCGACUGACUUCGGAUCAGUAGGUUGUGGGUUCGACUCCUGCUGGGCGCG